AACGCGUGGGUAACCUGCCUUAUAGCGGGGAUAACUAUUGGAAACGAUAGCUAAUACCGCAUAACAAUAGAGAUUGCAUAAUCUUUAUUUGAAAGUGCCAACUGGUACACUAUGAGAUGGACCCGCGUUGUAUUAGCUAGUUGGUAGUGUAAUGGACUUACCAAGGCCGAUGAUACAUAGCCGACCUGAGAGGGUGAUCGGCCACAUUGGGACUGAGACACGGCCCAAACUCCUACGGGAGGCAGCAGUAGGGAAUCUUCGGCAAUGGACGAAAGUCUGACCGAGCAACGCCGCGUGAGUGAAGAAGGUUUCGGAUCGUAAAACUCUGUUGUUAGAGAAGAAUGUUGAUUAGUGUGGAAAAUUAAUCAAGUGACGGUAUCUAACCAGAAAGGGACGGCUAACUACGUG
RNAcentral lists this ribosomal RNA (408 nucleotides) under uncultured bacterium. RNAcentral's name for it is "bacterial SSU rRNA". It matches the Rfam family "Bacterial small subunit ribosomal RNA", at positions 112 to 507 of the family's 1533-position model. The record is from RNAcentral.